RNAcentral lists this ribosomal RNA (401 nucleotides) under uncultured bacterium. RNAcentral describes it as "bacterial SSU rRNA". It matches the Rfam family "Bacterial small subunit ribosomal RNA", at positions 355 to 773 of the family's 1533-position model. The record is from RNAcentral.
UGGGGAAUUUUGGACAAUGGGGGCAACCCUGAUCCAGCAAUGCCGCGUGAGUGAUGAAGGCCUUAGGGUUGUAAAGCUCUUUUACCCGGGAUGAUAAUGACAGUACCGGGAGAAUAAGCUCCGGCUAACUCCGUGCCAGCAGCCGCGGUAAUACGGAGGGAGCUAGCGCUGUUCGGAAUUACUGGGCGUAAAGCGCACGUAGGCGGCUUUGUAAGUUAGAGGUGAAAGCCUGGAGCUCAACUCCAGAAUUGCCUUUGAUACUGCAUGGCUUGAAUCCAGGAGAGGUGAGUGGAAUUCCGAGUGUAGAGGUGAAAUUCGUAGAUAUUCGGAAGAACACCAGUGGCGAAGGCGACUUACUGGACGACUGUUGACGCUGAGGUGCGAAAGCGUGGGGAGCAAAC